UACGUAGGUGGCAAGCGUUGUCCGGAUUUACUGGGCGUAAAGGGUGCGUAGGCGGCUUUCUAAGUUGGAUGUGAAAACUCUGGGCUCAACCCAGAGACUGCAUCCAAAACUGGAGAGCUUGGGUUCUGGAGGGGAAAGCGGAAUUCCUGGUGUAGCGGUGAAAUGCGUAGAUAUCUGGAGGAACACCGGUGGCGAAGGCGGCAUCCUGGACCACUAUUGACGCUGAGGAGCGAAAGCCAGGGGAGCAAACGGG
This 253-nucleotide ribosomal RNA is filed under the name uncultured bacterium. Its description in RNAcentral is "partial 16S ribosomal RNA". It matches the Rfam family "Bacterial small subunit ribosomal RNA", at positions 524 to 776 of the family's 1533-position model. The record is from RNAcentral.